Molecule: unclassified non-coding RNA, 351 nt
Filed under: soil metagenome
Description: partial contains 5.8S ribosomal RNA, internal transcribed spacer 2, and large subunit ribosomal RNA
Rfam family: 5.8S ribosomal RNA (bases 5-119)
Source: RNAcentral
GAUGAGAACGUAGCGAAAUGCGAUAAGUAAUGUGAAUUGCAGAAUUCAGUGAAUCAUCGAAUCUUUGAACGCACAUUGCGCCCGCCAGUAUUCUGGCGGGCAUGCCUGUUCGAGCGUCAUUACAACCCUCAGGCCCCCGGGCCUGGCGUUGGGGAUCGGCGGAGCCCCCCGUGGGCACACGCCGUCCCCCAAAUGCAGUGGCGGUCCCGCCGCAGCUUCCAUCGCGUAGUAGCUAACACCUCGCGACUGGAGAGCGGCGAGGCCACGCCGUAAAACACCCAACUCUUCUGAAGUUGACCUCGAAUCAGGUAGGAAUACCCGCUGAACUUAAGCAUAUCAAUAAGCGGAGGA